This 303-nucleotide ribosomal RNA is filed under the name uncultured bacterium. RNAcentral describes it as "bacterial SSU rRNA". It matches the Rfam family "Bacterial small subunit ribosomal RNA", at positions 335 to 627 of the family's 1533-position model. The record is from RNAcentral.
ACUCCUACGGGAGGCAGCAGUGGGGAAUAUUGCACAAUGGGCGCAAGCCUGAUGCAGCCAUGCCGCGUGUAUGAAGAAGGCCUUCGGGUUGUAAAGUACUUUCAGCAGUGAGGAAGGUGGGAGUUCAGUUAAUAGCGGCUCAUUUGAUCGUUAUGCUGCAGAAGAAGCACCGGCUAACUCCGUGCCAGCAGCCGCGGUAAUACGGAGGGUGCGAGCGUUAAUCGGAAUUACUGGGCGUAAAGCGCAUGCAGGUGGUUUGUUAAGUCAGAUGUGAAAGCCCGGGGCUCAACCUCGGAAUAUGAC